GCCUGGUGUGGGAGCAGGAACAGAGCUGCAGCUUCCUCCCAGGUGGCUGGUGGGCCUAUGAGCCUGGUGAUGAGUGUGCAGCGCCUAGCAUCCCUGAUGAUCUCAAUGCUGACUUCUGCACAGCCUCAAAUUCAUAUCCAGCAUCACCUUGCUGGCCUGGAGGUGCAAAGCCUGCACCUGACAGAGGCCAACACCUGGAGGGCAUCCAGAUGUACCAGGCCACAUCCACAUCUCUGCAGGUGAAGUGAGCUGGCUCCUAGGAGAAGGUGGGUGAAGAGGAAAGCUGUCUGGACCCCGGUCAAGUUCCAGGUGGCCUGUGUGGCUGUCACAGUUGCGAUGCAUCUUCUCUUUCUGGUUGCCUUCUCCUGGAUGCUAACUGAGGGACUACUGCUAUGGAGCAAGGUGGUAGCUGUGAGUGUGUGCCCAGGCCCCAGGAUGAGGCUGCACUAUGCUGCAGGCUGGGGUGAGGACCCUUGUUCUUGUCUCCAUCACUGCUCAACA
Long non-coding RNA from Onychomys torridus (southern grasshopper mouse), 501 nucleotides. RefSeq lists it as uncharacterized. Lineage: Eukaryota; Metazoa; Chordata; Mammalia; Rodentia; Cricetidae. The record is from RefSeq and is a predicted model, not a curated record. The transcript has 3 exons.